UACGUAGGGGGCGAGCGUUAUCCGGAUUCAUUGGGCGUAAAGCGAGUGCAGGCGGUUCAAUAAGUCUGAUGUGAAAGCCUUCGGCUCAACCGGAGAAUUGCAUCAGAAACUGUUGAACUUGAGUGCAGAAGAGGGAAGUGGAAUUCCAUGUGUAGCGGUGAAAUGCGUAGAGAUAUGGAGGAACACCAGUGGCGAAGGCGACUUUCUGGACGAUAACUGACGUUGAGGCACGAAAGUGUGGGGAGCAAACA
This 251-nucleotide ribosomal RNA is filed under the name uncultured bacterium. RNAcentral's name for it is "partial 16S ribosomal RNA". It matches the Rfam family "Bacterial small subunit ribosomal RNA", at positions 524 to 774 of the family's 1533-position model. The record is from RNAcentral.